This is a non-coding RNA of Potamilus streckersoni, 73 nucleotides long. The record is from the annotation of a GenBank genome assembly. NCBI's taxonomy places the organism in Eukaryota, Metazoa, Mollusca, Bivalvia, Unionida, Unionidae.
UACUCUAUGGCCGAGUGGUUAGAGCGUCCGCCUCAGAUGUGGAAAGUCGCGGGUUCGAACCCCAGCGGAUUCA